RNAcentral lists this ribosomal RNA (253 nucleotides) under uncultured bacterium. RNAcentral describes it as "partial 16S ribosomal RNA". It matches the Rfam family "Bacterial small subunit ribosomal RNA", at positions 524 to 776 of the family's 1533-position model. The record is from RNAcentral.
UACAGAGGGGGCAAGCGUUAUUCGGAAUUAUUGGGCGUAAAGGGCGCGUAGGCGGCUUUUCAAGUGACGGGUGAAAUCCCUCGGCUUAACCGAGGAACUGCCUGUCAGACUGGAAGGCUUGAGACCGGGAGAGGUGAGUGGAAUUCCCAGUGUAGCGGUGAAAUGCGUAGAUAUUGGGAGGAACACCUGAGGUGAAGACGGGUUGCUGGGCUGACACUGACGCUGAGGCGCGAAAGCUAGGGUAGCAAACGGG